AGCGAACGCUGGCGGCAGGCCUAACACAUGCAAGUCGAACGAACUCUUCGGAGUUAGUGGCGGACGGGUGAGUAACACGUGGGAACGUGCCUUUUGGUUCGGAAUAACUCAGGGAAACUUGUGCUAAUACCGAAUGUGCCCUUCGGGGGAAAGAUUUAUCGCCAUUAGAGCGGCCCGCGUCUGAUUAGCUAGUUGGUGAGGUAAAAGGUCACCAAGGCGAAGGUCAGUAGCUGGUCCGAGCGGAUGACCAGGCACACUGGGACUGAGACACGGCCCAGACUCCUACGGGAGGCAGCAGUGGGGAAUCUUGCGCAAUGGGCGAAAGCCUGACGCAGCCAUGCCGCGUGAAUGAUGAAGGUCUUAGGAUUGUAAAAUUCUUUCACCGGGGACGAUAAUGACGGUACCCGGAGAAGAAGCCCCGGCUAACUUCGUGCCAGCAGCCGCCGUAA
This 449-nucleotide ribosomal RNA is filed under the name uncultured bacterium. Its description in RNAcentral is "partial 16S ribosomal RNA". It matches the Rfam family "Bacterial small subunit ribosomal RNA", at positions 29 to 523 of the family's 1533-position model. The record is from RNAcentral.